CUAGUUGAAACAACUUUAGUCUAUCAUGUCUCUGUGCUAGAGCUGUUCGUGGUGCUGCCUGAUGGCCUCACACCUCUGCAUCUUCUCGUCCUUCCUCGCCCGCGGUGCCUUUGUCACCUCUGCGCGUAGAGCACAAUCAGACUGAGACAGGGCAGCAAAACACACGACAGAGGGGGCAUACAAACAUUUCAUGUCAUUCAUCCUUUCAAUUUUGCCCCCUCAAUUUAUUACCAUGGGAGACAUCGAGAAUGGGCCAAUAUCAAGAGUAAGUAGUUGUUGCCGACACUUGCUCACUAACAAACAGCUUCAGGUGAUAAUCCUUGAUCCACCAGGGUUACCAAGCCUAUUCAAACAUCUCAUCCACCAAAAUUAU
Molecule: long non-coding RNA, 373 nt
Filed under: Zea mays
Lineage: Eukaryota; Viridiplantae; Streptophyta; Magnoliopsida; Poales; Poaceae
Description: long non-coding RNA (ZMAY_LNC005261)
Source: RNAcentral